GCCCUGUGGUGUACAGCACAUAAAAUUGCAAAUUUUAAAGAGCAAAUAGACUCUGCCGGGGCUU
Molecule: transfer RNA, 64 nt
Filed under: Desmognathus marmoratus
Lineage: Eukaryota; Metazoa; Chordata; Amphibia; Caudata; Plethodontidae
Also listed under: 1 other name
Description: tRNA-Cys
Source: RNAcentral